RNAcentral lists this ribosomal RNA (782 nucleotides) under Microncocotyle bicoccae. RNAcentral describes it as "partial large subunit ribosomal RNA". It matches the Rfam family "Eukaryotic large subunit ribosomal RNA", at positions 83 to 647 of the family's 3401-position model. The record is from RNAcentral. Lineage: Eukaryota; Metazoa; Platyhelminthes; Monogenea; Dactylogyridea; Ancyrocephalidae.
GUAACGGCGAGUGAACGGAGAUUAGCCCAUCACCGAAGUCCGGUGCGUUUUGCAUGCAGGACAAUGUGGUGUUAAGGUGUGUGCCUGGGAUCGUGUACCUACUCGAAGUCCAACUCCGAUUGUGGCAUUGGAUAUUCCCCAGAGAGGGUGAAAGGCCCUUCCGGGUAGGCUGUUGCAUAUAUGCACGGUUCUCAGAUGCGCAUACUAUCGAGUCGGAUUGCUUGAGAAUGCAGUCCAAAGUGGGUGGUAAACUCCAUCCAAGGCUAAAUACUGGCACGAGUCCGAUAGUAGACAAGUACCGUGAGGGAAAGUUGAAAAGUACUCUGAAGAGAGAGUAAAUAGUACGUGAAGCCGCUUGCAGGGAAGCUGGUGGAGUCAAGCUUCGUGCGGAAAGAAUUGCAACUAAUGCUCGAUGUGUGUUAGGAUGCGUAGCCGGUCGGUGUGGAAAGUAUUGGGCGCAUUCGUGUGCUUCAAGACAUCCCGGGUUGCAUGUUUGGGCCGUGCUAUUGCGUCUUGGUGUUGGUUGUCUAUUCUUUCGUUGCACAGGUCACGUUCAACGGGCAUGGCAAUGCGUGAUUGUUGUACAGUGCUUUGGUGAGCCUCGAGUUUGCCGGGUGCUGGUUGGCAGGUUUCAGGUCGCGGGGUUCUCUCGUUGACUGAUUAUAGUGGUUUUGACCAGCCAAUUCUCAUUGCAAUGUCGUUUCCGUUGGUCCUGAACGGUGUGCGACCGCGAGGUCGUGCAUUAGUGAGAAACGUGAUCCUGAGGUAGACGUUCCAUCAGA